RNAcentral lists this ribosomal RNA (407 nucleotides) under bacterium enrichment culture clone ALO1_GLFRUDD03FRC5P. RNAcentral's name for it is "bacterial SSU rRNA". It matches the Rfam family "Bacterial small subunit ribosomal RNA", at positions 9 to 416 of the family's 1533-position model. The record is from RNAcentral.
GAGUUUGAUCGUGGCUCAGAUUGAACGCUGGCGGCAUGCCUUACACAUGCAAGUCGAACGGCAGCACGGGAGCUUGCUCCUGGUGGCGAGUGGCGAACGGGUGAGUAAUGCAUCGGAACGUAUCCUGGAGUGGGGGAUAACGUAGCGAAAGUUACGCUAAUACCGCAUAUUCUGUGAGCAGGAAAGCGGGGGACCUUCGGGCCUCGCGCUCUUGGAGCGGCCGAUGUCGGAUUAGCUAGUUGGUGAGGUAAAGGCUCACCAAGGCGACGAUCCGUAGCAGGUCUGAGAGGAUGAUCUGCUACACUGGAACUGAGACACGGUCCAGACUCCUACGGGAGGCAGCAGUGGGGAAUUUUGGACAAUGGGGGCAACCCUGAUCCAGCCAUGCCGCGUGAGUGAAGAAGGCC